GAUGAACGCUGGCGGCGUGCCUAAUACAUGCAAGUCGAGCGAACAGACGAGGAGCUUGCUCCUCUGACGUUAGCGGCGGACGGGUGAGUAACACGUGGAUAACCUACCUAUAAGACUGGGAUAACUUUGGGAAACCGGAGCUAAUACCGGAUAAUAUAUUGAACCGCAUGGUUCAAUAGUGAAAGACGGUUUUGCUGUCACUUAUAGAUGGAUCCGCGCCGCAUUAGCUAGUUGGUAAGGUAACGGCUUACCAAGGCAACGAUGCGUAGCCGACCUGAGAGGGUGAUCGGCCACACUGGAACUGAGACACGGUCCAGACUCCUUCGGGAGGCAGCAGUAGGGAAUCUUCCGCAAUGGGCGAAAGCUUGACGGAGCAACGCCGCGUGAGUGAUGAAGGUCUUCGGAUCGUAAAACUCUGUUAUUAGGGAAGAACAAAUGUGUAAGUAACUAUGCACGUCUUGACGGUACCUAAUCAGAAAGCCACGGCUAACUACGUG
Molecule: ribosomal RNA, 497 nt
Filed under: uncultured bacterium
Lineage: Bacteria
Description: partial 16S ribosomal RNA
Rfam family: Bacterial small subunit ribosomal RNA
Source: RNAcentral